UUUCGAAUUCUGGCGUACCCUCACAGCUUGUGAGCCUCAUAAAAAUUGUGAUCUCCUUCAGAGCAGGUCACAACUCACAAAUUACUAGAGUUUUGACAUUUUUUAUUUCCAUAAAUGUUUUGAGAACAAAUAAUUUUAGUUUUUUUAUUUGUUAGUCAAUAAAAAUGGAAUUAGACCUUAUUUUGUUGUAUCUAGUCAUAAUCCCAUAUGACUUUCUUAAUAAUUUAUAUCUUUUCUGUAAGAAACUCAGGACUAUCGUCACAGUAGCUUUUGCUGUAUCGAAAUCAAAUUCUCAUUGAAUCUGGAAAAAAGCCUUCAAUCAGGUUAAAACUAUCAAGAGCAAGUGCUCUCCUAAACAGCACGAGACGAACAAAAUAAACCCAGAGUGGGCAACGUUAUUUUUGGCCCAGCAUUAGGAUUUCAUGCGUGAGACUCAAACACCGUUGAAAGAAAGAAUUUACAAACUAGCUGCCAGUCCAGUGGACUGGUUGGUUACAAGAAACACAAAGCUGUGGAUGACAUCGAUUCUGACAAUUGUCCACCAUCUGUGCUGAAGAAGCUUUCCAAUAAACAAAGUAAUGCUUAAAAACCUGCGUCAAGCCACCGAAGUUGAUGUCAAUCGCAAACAACAUAAAAAGACUAUAUAGCAAAACGCUUAAAAGCAGCAGCGGCAACAUCAUCGACAAGUGCGCAUACAACAAUUACAACAACUUCAGUAUAUCAGCCCCAAACACCAAAAAUAAUAAACAGAGUCUAAUGACGUCCGCAGUUGAAGUUCCUUAGCCUAAUUGGCAAUUUUUAGUCAUCACAGGUUGACACAAUAAAUUAACAGGCCAAAAUCAGCCUCCAGUUGACCACAAGAUACAAAUAAGGCCAAUUGUCAAUGAUUCAAGCCUUUAAAUCAUUCCACACUACAACGGCCAGCUCACAAUCAUCACCCACGGCAACAGCAACAAUAGCAACAAGAAGCCAAUGCCAAAGCAUUAGCGUAUGCCCUUAUGCAGCCAUAAUGCAACUACCAGACCAUAAGCAAUACCCCAAGUUCCGCAAACACUGUGUGUUUCAAUUUUGUUUUGAUCGAUCUCAAAUUCACCAAAAGAUCACCAAUCGCAGACUCUGUUGAAAAAUUUUAUUUGUUUUGAUUUACAAAAAUCUUUCCUUAAUUCUAGAAAUUAUAGAUUUAUAUUUUUUUAGAAAAAUUAUUUUAUUAAAACGCAU
Molecule: long non-coding RNA, 1218 nt
Organism: Episyrphus balteatus (marmalade hoverfly)
Lineage: Eukaryota; Metazoa; Arthropoda; Insecta; Diptera; Syrphidae
Exons: 3
Source: RefSeq, a predicted model, not a curated record